CCGCAAGUUAAAUUAACGCAGACAGUGGAUGCCUUGGUGCGACACACCUAAGAAGGACGUACAUGACGGCGAAACUCGUCGGGGAGGAGUCACGAUCCUGUGAUCCGGCGGUGUCCGAAUGGGGAAACCCACUCCCGCAUUUGCGGGGGGAGGCUGUGGUAAAAAUGUUCUGCGAAAGCAGAAUGUAUAGUCAUAGCAUUGGGAACCUUCCGAACUGAAACAUCUAAGUAGGGGGAGGAAAAGAAAUUAACAAAGAUUCCGUAAGUAGCGGCGAGCGAAAACGGAAAAGCCUAAACCUCGCAUGCCUUCGGGCUUUGCGGGGGGUUGUGGGACUCUAAUGUGGGAGUUUUCAAGAUAGCAGAACGGCAUGGAAUUGCCGACCAUAGAAAGUGAAAGUCUUGUAUGCAAAAUCAAGAAAGCCUCUAGGAGUAUCCCAAGUACUACGCAGUAAAUUCUUGUGUAGGAAUCCGGGGGAACCAUCCUCUAAGGCUAAAUAUGAGGUCGCAACCGAUAGUGAACUAGUACCGUGAGGGAAAGGCGAAAAGAAGGGCGGGACGCCCAGUGAAAUAGAACCUGAAACUGUUUGCGGACAAACCGAGAGAGUGGUGAAAAUCGCAAGGUUUUUACUAUGAUCUCGUGCCUAUUGAAGAAUGAUCCGGCGAGUCUCCGUAUAAGCGCAUGUUUAACCACUUAAAUGUGGGUAAGCAAAGCGAAAGCGAGUUUGAAUAGAGCGAUAAUUGCGCUCUGCGGAGGACCCGAAACCGAGCGAGCUAACCAUGACCAGGGGGAAUCCCGCCGAAAGGCGGGAAGACGCCCGAACCCGUCUGGGUUACAAUCCAGUGGGAUGAGUUGUGGUUAGAGGUUAUAUGCCUACCGAGCUCGGAGAUAGCUGGUUCUCCCCGAAAGGUCUAUAGGGACCGUCUCGUACAUUAUUUUCCAAGGGUAGAGCACUGAAUGGUCCCGCAAUCGUAAGAAAGCGGGAUCAAUCAAACUCCGAAUACUGGAAAAAUUUGGCGGGAGACAGUCAUAUCGGGCUAAGCUGAUAUGGCGAGAGGGAAACAUCCCAGAUUUUCGUCUAAGGCCUCUAAAUCUAUCUUAAGUUUCAAAGGAAGUUUUUUCUCUCAGACAGCCAGGAGGUUGGCUUAGAAGCAGCCACCCUUUAAAGAUAGCGUAACAGCUCACUGGUCUAUGAUAAAAAGCGCCGAAGAUUUAUCGAGGAUUAAAGAUAGUGCCGAAGACAAAGAUUCCCGACUUAGUCGGGAGUGGUAGGGGAGCGUUCCGCAAACAGUGAAGCCCCGCCGUAAGGCAGGGUGGAGUUUGCGGAAGUGAGAAUGCCGGAAUGAGUAGCGUACAACCCCGCUGAGAAUGCGGGGCGCCGAAUACCCAAGGUUUCCGUCCCGACGUUCGUCAAGGACGGGUUAGUCGGUACCUAAGGUGAGGCCCGCAAUUGUGGGCGUAGCCGAUGGAUGAGUAGUUAAAAUUCUACUAUUUGUUUUAAGUCGCUUGCCUGCGCAAGCAGGUUAUAGCUGGGGGUUGACUGAAUUGGAUGCCUGGAGCCCUUCGAUGAAUUCAGGGUGUAAACUGUAAAGUAGUUCUGACUAGUAAAUCUAUCAGAACGAUUAAUUAAGCAGUGAUACAGAGUCUGACCAAAAUCGGGCAAUUUCAAAGCAUUCAGUUUACAAGAAAAGACUCGCAGUGAGACUUUUGACAAGCCGUACCGCAAACCGACACAGGUGGGUUGGUCGAGUAGACUAAGGCGAGCGAGAGAAGGAUGUUCAAGGAACUCGGCAAAAAAACUACCCGUAACUUCGGGAGAUGGGUUACCUGCUGAACCGCAAGGUGAAGUGGGUUGCAACUAAAGUUUGUUAGUCGACUGUUUAUCAAAAACACAGGUCCCUGCAAAAGCGAAAGCUAAAGUAUAGGGGCUGAUGCCUGCCCAGUGCCGGUAAGUUAAGGGGCGGGGUGAUUGGGUCUUCGGACUCUUUUGCUCUAAACUCAAGCUCCGGUUAACGGCAGCAGUAACUAUAACUGUUCUACGGUAGCGAAGUUCCUUGUCGGGUAAGUUCCGACCUGCACGAAAGGCGUCACGAGCUAACAACUGUCUUGAACAUUCACUCGGCGAAAUUGCGAUGGCUGUGAAGACGCGGCCUACUUGUACCUGGACAAAAAGACCCCGUGGAGCUUUACUGUAGUUUGGCAUUGAUUUGCCUAUUUCGAUAGUCUAGCGUAGGAGGGAGCCUUCGGGCAAUCAUGUAACACCUCUCGUUGGAAUGGGUCAAAUCUUUACUCAAUCCCGCUGCAUACGCGGGAGGGGAAAGUGCUAGAUGGGCAGUUUUACUGGGGCGGUACCCUGCAAAAAGGUAACGCAGGGGUACAAAGGUUGGCUUACCACGGAUGGAAAUCGUGGGGAAAGCAUAAAGGUUUAAGCCAGCUUGAUAGUGAGAGCGACGGCUCGAACUAGGACGAAAGUCGGUCUUAGUGAUCCCCCGCUUCUUCAUGGGAAGGGCGGGGCUUAACGGAUAAAAGCUACCCCGGGGAUAACAGAGUAGUCGCGCCCGAGCGUCCAUAGCGACGGCGCGGUUCGCUACCUCGAUGUCGGCUCACCGCAUCCUGGAGGUGUAGAAGCUUCCAAGGGUUGGUCUGUUCGCCCAUUAAAGCGGUACGUGAGCUGGGUUCAGAACGUCGCGAGACAGUAGAAUUAAGAGUCCUGCGGUCUCACCCUUUAGACGUUCAAUUAAAAAGAACCAAUUUAAUAUUUUUACUUUUUGUCCAAAUUAAUAAAUGAAGGGAUAUAAAUCUGGCUAUAUGCUGGAAAGUCUUGUAAAAUGAUAAAGUACUAGUAUAUAAUCUAUUUACUAGUAAAAAUCUUUAUUCUGAGACAAUCAGCAGGAAAGACUAGAUAAUAUGUCUUUAUCAAAUGAUUAUUUUGUUGGUUUUGUUGAAGGAGAAGGUAUGUUCUAUAUAGGGAUAGUUCCUUCGAAAGAAACAAAAUCAGGCUGGCAAGUAAUUUAUUUCUUCAAAGUUUCUCAAAAUCCAUCAGGAAAAGAGGUUCUUGAAGAACUAAAGAAAAGAUUAUCUUGUGGUUAUAUUAAAGCAAAUAGUCAAACUGAUAAAACUGAUAAAUCACUAGCUUAUGUCGUUCGUGAUUUAUCAAGUUUAAGAGACAAAGUUAUUCCAUUUUUUGAUAAAAAACUAAUUAUCAAAAAAGAUGCUUUUGAAAAAUUCAAGAAAGUUAUAUUUCUUGUAGAUAAAAAGGAGCAUUUAAAUAAAAGUGGAAUCAGGAAGAUUAUUAAUAUUUCAUAUUCUAUGAAUACCCAAAAAAGGAGAUUCACCGAAGAACAAAUAUUAAAAUCUUAUUUGUAAUCUAGAAUCCUCACAGGCCAUACGCCAGAGUACGUUCGGUUUACAUGAACGUACAAGAUAUGGUCGGACCCCCAUGGUGACAUGGGGAAUCAACGGGAAAAUAAAACUGGUUGAUUCAUCUUAAUGAUGAUAACAAUAAUGUCGGACUCUAUCCGGUACAAGCGUUGAGUCUUGAGGAGAGCUCUCCCCAGUACGAGAGGACCGGGAGGGGAGAAUCCCUGGUGUGCCGGUUGUUACGUCAGUAGCAACGCCGGGUAGCUAUAUUCUUUUGCGAUAACCGCUGAAAGCAUCUAAGUGGGAAGCCAACUCCAAGAUUAGGACUCGUUAUAGAUCCCCUGUAGACCACAGGGUUAAUCGGCAAGCGGUGGAAGUGGUGUAAAUCAUUAAGCCUACUUGUGCGAAUAGAUCGAAUGACUUGCGGAC
This is a non-coding RNA of Candidatus Woesebacteria bacterium, 3786 nucleotides long. Lineage: Bacteria; Candidatus Woeseibacteriota. The record is from Rfam.